UCAUAUCCCAAUGGGGAACUGCCUUCGUUCCUGUUUCUAUAACUGAGAAGAGAUACCAUGGCCAUGGCAACUCUUAUAAAGGUUAAUUUGGAAACUCAACAGCACUCUCAAGGCGAAGAGUACUUUUUUCAAGCUAUUAUAAAUGGCAUCGAAUGCUUUGUCUUCUCAGAAUAAUUCAUUGUGAAAGGUGGCUUCUUGUAAAUCCAGCUCCAAGGAAUCCAGCGGCUCUUA
Molecule: long non-coding RNA, 231 nt
Organism: Peromyscus maniculatus bairdii (prairie deer mouse)
Lineage: Eukaryota; Metazoa; Chordata; Mammalia; Rodentia; Cricetidae
Source: RefSeq, a predicted model, not a curated record